Molecule: transfer-messenger RNA, 328 nt
Filed under: Patescibacteria group
Lineage: Bacteria
Description: GWC1-42-9 sp000995185 Standard tmRNA
Rfam family: transfer-messenger RNA
About the family: Bacterial tmRNA, also known as 10Sa RNA or SsrA, is named for its dual tRNA and mRNA-like properties.
Source: RNAcentral
GGGGAUGACAUGGUUUCGACGGGGAAGAAUCUAGUUAAUUGCAAGUCGAGCAUGAUCCAAACUCGUUAAAGGGAUCAAAAAAUUACAAGCAGACGAAAAUACGUUUGCCCCAGCUUACGCUUUAGCGUAAAUGGGUGUCUUCUGGGAAGCGAUUCUUGGCCGCACCCAGCGGGCAUAAACCCGUCCAAGAUGCGGCAGUUUUCUUAGCUUGAAAGAUGACUGCUUAAGUUAAGUCAAGCAAACCAAAGCUCGUCUGAUGAGCUAAACUUGUAGAAGAUUAGUUGGAUAAUUUUUCCGGACGCGGGUUCGAUCCCCGCCAUCUCCACCU